CUCUUUUCACGGAAUUUUAUUCUCAAUCGACUGCCCAAUCGAAUUUAUCGACGUGACUUUUAUCUAAUCUGAUGGAUGUCAUCAGACUUUCGACCAAUCUAAUCUUUCAUAAAUCGAGUUCGGAUAUUUCGCAGUUUUCGAUGUCAUUCUUUUCACGAUUAAGUAACUAAAAAUCAUUAGUGUUAAUGUACCGAUAAAAUUCCGAAGAAAUGGUCAACUAUGGUAACAAACUUUGUCCUCGUGAUCAAUGCGCAAUUAAAAAUUAUCUUUCAACUAGUAUUGUUAUAUAUCAUUCGAUAUAUUAUAAUUCGUAAAUAACAUAAUGUGAAUAUCUUUUAAUCAGAAGAAAGUGGAAUAGAAAGAAAGUAAAUAAAGAAAACUGAAUACAAAACGAUUAAGGAGAUACAAAAAAGAAAGGAAAAAUGGAAGAAUUCAUUUGAUUAACUUAAAACUUAAAAUGGAAAGGAAAAUUUUUCGCGAAAUCGCGAAACAUAGAAUCUAAACAAGCCGAAGCACGUGGAUAGGGCAACGUGAUGGCACGAUAGGUAAGUACUAAUAGAGUUACCGUGAUUAAGUAAUUAUCUUUCGAGCAACCGACAUUUCAAGACGAUAAGGAGGGAAAGCAGAGGAAUACGUAUGCUAUAGGGGUUUUGCGAUACACUUCUAUACGCUAUUGUUUAUUGUCCAUGUUGGAAAGAUAAACCUUUCACUUGCAUUCUCAUCUUGAACGAAGAGGAUUCUCUGAUCACGAGUAGAGAAGACAAUGCCCUCUGCGCUAUAAUCGGUGAAUUUCCACAGAUUGAUGAUGUGACGUAAAAGAAUGAAUUUUUUUUAUUUAAAUAAUUGAUAAUGUCAAUUUUCAAAAAAUUAUGUACAUACAUAUUUAAAUAAUAUUAUAAAAAUAUUUUAAUUAUAUAAUUAUAAUAUAUAUACUCAUGGCAACAGGAUGAAAAUAAUAUUCAACAUUUUUCAACUUACAUAAACUUUUCUUUGGAUAAAACAAGUUAUGAAAACGAAAUCACAAGAAAAUAGCUGUGCUUCUGUAAUAUGUAUACACAAGUGUCGAAUUAUUACGAACAUAACAUAGACUAAUGAAAAGUGAAUGUUGGAAGAAACGAACAUGCUAGUCAUGAAGAGAGAGAAAGAAAAAAAUAGAAACAAGAACUAAGAGAGAUAGAGAAAGAAGAGAGAGGAAAAUUGCGAUUCGUUCUAUUAGUUUAUAUUGUAUCGAACAAUAGAGGAAAUACGGGAAUAUCCUGUCCUGAAAAUUCAUGUCCCGAACGGAAGUUUGAGGGAGACCACGAAUGAGAUACGACGUCGACCAAGCUGUGUAAAUUGCUCACGCGACACGCGAUAAUUCGAACAGAGAAUCAUCAGAAUAGCAAUUAAUCGGCUUAACAAUCAUUCGUUAGCGGUAAUCUUGCAUAGAUAUAUGUAUAUUAGCGUUAGUAAAAAAUUGUUACAAACAUUCACAUAAAAUAAAAUAGAAUCUAAUGUGCGAUCUAGAAUGAAAAAAAACGUAGUUUUUAAAUGUUCAUUACGAAUGUAAAUGUAGAAAAUAAACAAUAUCUCUCAUUGUAA
Long non-coding RNA from Apis laboriosa (Himalayan honeybee), 1581 nucleotides. RefSeq lists it as uncharacterized. The transcript has 2 exons. The record is from RefSeq and is a predicted model, not a curated record. NCBI's taxonomy places the organism in Eukaryota, Metazoa, Arthropoda, Insecta, Hymenoptera, Apidae.